CCCUACUGUUAGAUUACUUACAUCUGGAUGUUGCAAGCCAUGUCUUAUAUGUGCUUAUAUUCUCAUAGAUCUUAAAAUAUUAUCAUGAACUAGGUAGAAGCUCAAAAAAUGUGUGUUGAAUUCAUUCAUUCAUAUCCAAAAGUGAUGAAAAGAGAGAUCAGUUGCCCAUAAAUUUCUUUUGACUUAAACCAUAGCAUUCCCUUUUUGAAUCUUGGCUACUUAUAAUAAACAAAAACAUACCCAUUUAUAAUAGACGUAUAAAAAGGAUAUUAAUCAAUUAAUAUGCCAAGUACUUUUCCAAUUGCAGGAAACCAUUAAAAUUGUAUGUAGGUAUAGUGUAGGUGUAGUGUAUCUUUUAUUAAAGAGUAUAAUUGAUUGCUAUAAAUAGUCAUAUAAAUAUUCAUAUUAUUCAAGUACUUAUCUUGUAUAUGCUGAC
Molecule: long non-coding RNA, 436 nt
Filed under: Bos taurus (domestic cattle)
Lineage: Eukaryota; Metazoa; Chordata; Mammalia; Artiodactyla; Bovidae
Description: long non-coding RNA NONBTAT026887
Source: RNAcentral